RNAcentral lists this long non-coding RNA (295 nucleotides) under Cicer arietinum (chickpea). Its description in RNAcentral is "long non-coding RNA (CARI_LNC000439)". Lineage: Eukaryota; Viridiplantae; Streptophyta; Magnoliopsida; Fabales; Fabaceae. The record is from RNAcentral.
ACAAGUCAGUAGCCUCUGAUUUGGAGAGUAAUCGAUUGGUAAAUCGAUUGAACAUUUCACAAAUCAAACCUGAUGGUAACACAUCGAUUGGUAAAUCGAUUGGAUGAGUCACAGUGGCACUCCAGUGCUGAGGAAAUCGAUUGGCAAAUCGAUUGACGAAGUAUCCUUUGAAAAAUGACCUCACCUGUGACAAAUACAAUCGAUUGGACAAUCUAUUGUUAACACUUUCUUUUUGAUAAAGUUUGGUUGCAAUCGAUUGGGAAAUCGAUUGAACUAAACAACAGGUAAAAACUUU